This 1573-nucleotide ribosomal RNA is filed under the name Hybomys sp. n. VVB-2020. Its description in RNAcentral is "16S ribosomal RNA". It matches the Rfam family "Bacterial large subunit ribosomal RNA". Lineage: Eukaryota; Metazoa; Chordata; Mammalia; Rodentia; Muridae. The record is from RNAcentral.
ACUAACUCUAGCCCUAACAAAUUUCAACAUAAUUAUAUUUACACACUUAAAUUAAACCAUUUAAUCUAACUAAAAGUAUUGGAGAAAGAAAUUAUCCUUAGGAGCUAUAGAAAAAGUACCGUAAGGGAAAGAUGAAAGAUUAAUUAAAAGUAAAAAUAAAGCAAAGAUAAGACCUUGUACCUUUUGCAUAAUGAAUUAACUAGAAAAACUCUAACUAAACGAAUUGAAGCUAGAAACCCCGAAACCAAACGAGCUACCUAAAAACAAUUUCAUGAAUCAACCCGUCUAUGUAGCAAAAUAGUGGGAAGAUUUUUAGGUAGAGGUGAAAAGCCUAACGAGCUUGGUGAUAGCUGGUUACCCAACAAAUGAAUUUUAGUUCAACUUUAAGCUUACUACAAGAAUAAAUAAUCUAAACGUAAACUUAAAUUAUAGCCAAAAGAGGGACAGCUCUUUAGGAACGGAAAAAACCUUUAAUAGUGAAUAAACACCCACAAAUCUUAACCAUUGUAGGCCUAAAAGCAGCCACCAAUAAAGAAAGCGUUCAAGCUCAACAUUAAAAACAAUAAAUUCAAUCAUUAAAAAUAAAUUCCUAUUCUUCAAAUUGGGUUAAUCUAUUAAUUUAUAGAUGAGAUACUGUUAAUAUGAGUAACAAGAAUUAAUUCUCCAAGCAUAAGUGUAUAACAACUCGGAUAACCAUUGUUAAUUAAAGAACUAUAGAUAAUAAAUUCUUAAUUAAACUAUCUAACUCAUACUCGUUAAUCCAACACAGGAAUGCUUUAAGGAAAGAUUAAAAAGAAUAAAAGGAACUCGGCAAACACAAACCCCGCCUGUUUACCAAAAACAUCACCUCUAGCAUAAUAAGUAUUAGAGGCAUUGCCUGCCCAGUGACUAAAGUUAAACGGCCGCGGUAUCCUGACCGUGCAAAGGUAGCAUAAUCACUUGUUCCUUAAUUAGGGACUAGUAUGAAUGGCUAGACGAGGGUUUAACUGUCUCUUAUUCUCAAUCAGUGAAAUUGACCUUUCAGUGAAGAGGCUGAAAUAACAAAAUAAGACGAGAAGACCCUAUGGAGCUUCAAUUAAUUAGCUUAAUUAUAAACACUAAUAACCUAAUGGUACAAAAUAAAAAAAAACUAUAAGCUAAAAAUUUCGGUUGGGGUGACCUCGGAGAACAAAAAAUCCUCCGAAUGAUUAUAACCUAGACAAACAAGUCAAAGUAGCCCUAUAAUCUUAUUGACCCAAAACUUUUUUGAUCAACGGACCAAGUUACCCUAGGGAUAACAGCGCAAUCCUAUUUAAGAGUCCAUAUCGACAAUUAGGGUUUACGACCUCGAUGUUGGAUCAGGACAUCCCAAUGGUGCAGAAGCUAUUAAUGGUUCGUUUGUUCAACGAUUAAAGUCCUACGUGAUCUGAGUUCAGACCGGAGUAAUCCAGGUCGGUUUCUAUCUAUUUACAAUUUCUCCCAGUACGAAAGGACAAGAGAAAUAGAGCCACCUUUGCAAAAGUGCUCUUAGACUAAUUUAUGAAUAUAUCUUAAUUUAAUAGACAUGUAAAACACCAUAGACCUAGACAAGGUA